GUUCCGUGAUUCUGAGGAGAAGGAUCGGCAAAACGACUGUGUUUUCUGCAAGAUUGUGCGCGUUGAAUCACCAGGUCUCAAGCUCUAUGAAGAUGAUGCGUGCCUAUGCAUAUUGGAUACAAAUCCUCUGAGUCAUGGGUAAGGCAUUCUCUUAUCAUCCCAAAAUCUCAUUUCUGUUCCUUAAAAGCCACUCCACCACAUGUAAGUAAUUCUCACUUGAAACUUUUAAGUUUGUAUUAAGCCAAUGUGCUGGUAAUCAUUUCUAUAAAGCAUUUAUGUAUACAAUCUGUCUGCAUCAUGUGCAUAGUAUUGUCACGAAUGGUCUAGAGUCUGUAUUAAGUCUACAUCAAUACAAUCAGUUUGCAUUAUGUGUAUAACACCUUCCCGAAUGUGUAGUAGAGUAGAUAUUCAUAACACAUGAAUGUUUCCGUUGUAUCUUCCUACAGAACAUUUUCGCAUUUGAGUGUACAUGGUUAAUCUUUCUAGCAUAAAUGCCAAAACACAGUAUUUGUAAUUACGUGUACAAAAUCAAGGGUUGGAAACCCCCCAAAAAAUUGAGUUUGGUGAACCUUAUCUGACCAACAAUUAGUGCAAUUUGGUUGGGAGACAUGAGUAUGUGGAAACUCGAUUUAGGAUUGUGUGGUUAGUAGGAAAAAAUGUGAAUAAUAAGAGGAGGUUAUCAUAUAUCAGCUUCUUCUUACUACACAGCCUUAAUGUAACUACAUUAACGAACAACAGAUAUAAUAAAGGCCCUUUACAGCCAGUUUAUGUCUCUACAGCACCAUGACCAAUACCUAGUUUUAACCAAGAACCUAUCUCUGAUUACAUGCAGUUGGCCUCUGAGUUUGUUUCCCAGCAUUUAUUAUCUAUCAUGCUUUUCACCUGCUUUACCUUUACCCUUUCAGAUUUGGAGAGAUUGUAUAAUUCAUGGUUCCUCUAAGAAAUUUAAAAUAGUAAUAAUGAUAAUUAAAUUUAUGGCAAACCAAAAUCAGAUACGCCGGAUUGCUUAUCACAACAAUACUGGAGGUGAUGAGCUGAGUCUGUAACAGAACUUUCAAGGUUUCCAAUCUGCCUUUUGUACCAAAAUCACUAUGAAGAAAUGCAUACUUCUAUAGUCUCAACAUAGUUUCAAAAAUAGGAAGCUCAUACAUAGAUUAUAUUUUUUCUGUAGUCUCAACAUAGUUCUAUUAUGAUCCACAUCGCCUUCGUCCUCUCCUCUCUCUCUACUUUUGGUUGGUACUUGUUGAUGAUCAAUCACUCAAUUCUUUGAAUACACUGAAAUAUGUGGGGGUUUUAACCAUGAUUGAUGUCUGCUUACCUGAAAUUAAUUAAAAACCAUACUUUUGUUGAGAGGAGGCUGACAAUUGUAACUUUGGAGCUUGACCUCUUGGUAGGUUGAAAUUUGCAUCUACUAGCUGAAGUUGUUUGAGAAGUCUAUCAAUGCACUAUACAAAUAGUACGGUUCUACAAAAAUUUGUAUCGUAUAUAGGCAUAAAUAUAUCUCCUUGUGCGUGUUUGGGGUGCGGGAAAUCUAGAAUUUUUUCUUCAACAGAAUGGAUAUAGCAUGGGUCAUGCCGGGAAGAGUGAUAGAAUUAAUUGCAAGCUGGAUAGGAAUUGCGGGGACACCACAGAUUGCGGCUGUAUGGAAGAUGGCUCCUCUUUGUAUUCUUUGGUGUAUUUGGUGUGAAAGAAAUGAUAGACUUUUUGAGGAUCAAGAACGUUCCAUAGAAGAGUUUAGGAGGUUUUUUUGGAAGACUUUAUUUAUGUGGGCCAUCGCUCUAGAGCUGAAUGGUCUCAGUUUUCAAGAUUUCCUUGUAUCAAUUACUAGAUCCUAAAUAGGUGUAUUCACAUGUAUACCUCCAGUGUACCUGGAAUAUGCUUAUUAAUAAAAUUUCUUAUUACUUAUAAAAAAAAAAAGUAGAAAUUCUUCUUGUAUGUCUCCUGGUUAACUUAUGUGCAGGUGAUAGCUGUAAUGUGUUCGAAAGUGCCGUUUAUCAGCAGUGCAAUAAUGAAAGCUACUGGUUGUGAUUCGUUCAACUUGUUGGUUAACAAUGGUGCAGAAGCUGGCCAAGUAAUAUUUCACGUUAAGUACUGUAUUUUUUUUUUUUUUUUAAGCGAGACUUUUUCUUUAAAGUACACCUAGGAAAAUGCUCAUGCUAAUAUUUCUAUAUGAUAUGGUAAUUUCAGACUCAUAUUCAUAUCAUUCCCCGUAAAGCACGAGAUUGCUUGUGGCCUUCUGAGAUAUUCAUCGCUUGUUCAUAUAUGUUAAUCCUGGGAGAGAACUUCCAUUAGAGAUAUGUUAACGUUAAAGAUUUGCAGAGUUUGCGGAGGCAUCCCCUAAAGUUGGACCAGAAUACUUUUAAACUUGUCAAUUGUGUUCAAGAAGAGCUAUGCUUGUUCGUUAUAUUAAUGUUCCAUUAAUAAUAUUUUGCAUACUAACUAGAGCUGAUAAGUUGUUCUUUUCUACCAGGACUGAUGACUAAUGAAUUUUCUGCCAACUUAUGUUGUAUAUAUAUUUUUGUUAUUUUUAAUAUUUAGAUUGACGUUCGA
RNA transcript from Carya illinoinensis, 2550 nucleotides. It is a transcript of the gene named adenylylsulfatase HINT3-like, with no coding region annotated. The record is from RefSeq and is a predicted model, not a curated record. NCBI's taxonomy places the organism in Eukaryota, Viridiplantae, Streptophyta, Magnoliopsida, Fagales, Juglandaceae. The transcript has 4 exons.